This 493-nucleotide ribosomal RNA is filed under the name uncultured bacterium. RNAcentral describes it as "partial 16S ribosomal RNA". It matches the Rfam family "Bacterial small subunit ribosomal RNA", at positions 29 to 523 of the family's 1533-position model. The record is from RNAcentral.
AUUGAACGCUGGCGGCAUGCUUUACACAUGCAAGUCGAACGGUAACAGGUUAAGCUGACGAGUGGCGAACGGGUGAGUAAUGCAUCGGAACGUGCCCGAUCGUGGGGGAUAACGCAGAGAAAGCUGCGCUAAUACCGCAUACGAUCUGAGGAUGAAAGCGGGGGACCGUAAGGCCUCGCGCGAUCGGAGCGGCCGAUGUCAGAGUAGGUAGUUGGUGGGGUAAAGGCUCACCAAGCCGACGAUCUGUAGCUGGUCUGAGAGGACGACCAGCCACACUGGGACUGAGACACGGCCCAGACUCCUACGGGAGGCAGCAGUGGGGAAUUUUGGACAAUGGGCGCAAGCCUGAUCCAGCAAUGCCGCGUGCAGGAAGAAGGCCUUCGGGUUGUAAACUGCUUUUGUACGGAGCGAAAAGGCUCUCUCUAAUACAGGGGGCUCAUGACGGUACCGUAAGAAUAAGCACCGGCUAACUACGUGCCAGCCGCCGCCGUAA